UCAUUUUACCGAAUUCAUUAGAUUCCUUGGAAUGGACUUCAACUUUCUCCUGAAUCUUGAUGGUCUUCAUUGCCAUGUAGAUUCUGAAUUCUAUGUCUGUGAUUUCAGCCAUUUCAUUCUGGUUAAGAAGCAUUGCUGGGAGUCAAUGUGGUCAUUUGGAGAUAAGGAGACACUUUAGCUUUUAGGGUUGCCAGUGUUCUUGCACUGGUUAUUUCUCAUCUGUGCUGGCUAAUGUUCCUUUAAUUCUGGUGUAAUUUGAGUAUAAUCAGUUGGCUUCAUUUGUGGAUGUUUUCAGAGGGGCGAUGCUUUGUACAUGAUCUUUAUUUGUGGCUGAAUUUUUCUCCUUGUCUUCACAGGAGGGUAUAUUAGCAAAGUAUUUUUGGUGUUGAAGCUUGGGCCGCAACCCAGUAGAUGGCGCGGAAGGAUAAUGGCUUGUAGUUGGGCUCUUAGCCACAUGGCUCCUCAGCGUUUUCUUGUGUUUCCACUCAUGUUCUCUCUCUUUGCCCUGAGAAUGUGAGCUCCUCUCAUACUCAAGUGCUGGCCACAGAUCUCAGCCUGGCACUCCUAGGCUGCACACUGAAGCCCUGGGGCUAACUCAGGCUUAUUGUUCCCUUCAAGCUUGGGGAAAGCCAGGGCAAGGACCUUGGCAGUGACCAUGGCAGAGGGCUUCUUACUUGUCCCUUGAGACCCCCACCCUAUAGAAAUGAGGAGCCACUGCCAAUCAGAAAAAUUAUCUUGGUGUAGGGUGGCUGCAUUAUGGGCCCAAGCCAGGGGCCCUGCCUGGUGAUUAGCAGUGGGGGCAGGGAGCUCACAGGGAAGACAGUUUGGUCUCUUCUCCAUAGGGUGUCUGUGGCAUGCUGGAGAUGUGAGUAAAGUUCUGAGGCUUUUUGUUUCUUCCCCCACCAGGUGGCAGCAAUGGCUGAUACCACUGCAUUGACAGUGGCAGAUGGGCUGUCAUUUGCCUCUGUGAACUCCAAACCAGAGAGACACAAAGCCACUGCCAAUGGAUUUUUCAUCUGUGAACUUGGACAGUCAUACAAACUUCAUCCGGUUGUUGAAAAGAUUAAAUGAGAUAAUGCAAGGGCAGAGCAAGAUAGCAGAAUAGAAGCCUACACCAUUUGUACUCCCUGAAGGGGAGAGAAAAGCGCCAUCACAAUAUCUAAAAAUCAGGUGAUGAGAAUUCAGCAGUGAAAAAAGGCAGUGGCUUCUGACCCCUAAAAAGAAGACACAUAAAUGGCUGACCACCACAUAUCACAGUAUGAGAUGUUUCUCUUGAAGGGAGGAGAGUUUGUGGCACUAAGAGGUACUGUCUCCCUUAUGAUCAUCAGUAAACU
Homo sapiens (human) is the source of this 1334-nucleotide long non-coding RNA. RefSeq lists it as uncharacterized. The record is from RefSeq and is a predicted model, not a curated record. The transcript is spliced from 3 exons. NCBI's taxonomy places the organism in Eukaryota, Metazoa, Chordata, Mammalia, Primates, Hominidae.